This 400-nucleotide unclassified non-coding RNA is filed under the name uncultured Opitutaceae bacterium. RNAcentral's name for it is "contains 16S-23S intergenic spacer region". The record is from RNAcentral. Lineage: Bacteria; Pseudomonadati; Verrucomicrobiota; Opitutia; Opitutales; Opitutaceae.
ACCGUCAAUUCAUUUGAGUUUUAGUCUUGCGACCGUAGUCCUCAGGCGGCACACUUAACGCGUUAGCUUGGGCCCUGAAGGGGUCGAAUCCUCCAAGACCUAGUGUGCACCGUUUAGGGCAUGGACUACAGGGGUAUCUAAUCCCUUUUGCUCCCCAUGCUUUCGUGCCUGAGUGUCAGCAAUUGUCCAGGUAGUCGCCUUCGCCUCUGGUGUUCCUCACGAUAUCUACGCAUUUCACUGCUACACCGUGAAUUCCACUACCCUCUCCAAUGCUCUAGUCAUGCAGUUUCAGACGCAGUUCCGGGGUUAAGCCCCGGGAUUUCACAUCUGACACACAUGACCACCUGCGCACCCUUUACGCCCAGUGAAUCCGAAUAACGCUUGGACCCUACGUAUUACC